RNAcentral lists this ribosomal RNA (463 nucleotides) under uncultured bacterium. Its description in RNAcentral is "partial 16S ribosomal RNA". It matches the Rfam family "Bacterial small subunit ribosomal RNA", at positions 28 to 507 of the family's 1533-position model. The record is from RNAcentral.
GAUGAACGCUGACAGAAUGCUUAACACAUGCAAGUCUUUGGCGAAGCUGUGCUUGCACAGCCUAGCCAAGGCGGACGGGUGAGUAACGCGUAAGGAACUUGCCCUGCAGUCAGGGAUAACAGACGGAAACGACUGAUAAGACCUGGUAAAGUCAGGCGGACUCAUGUCCAGCCUGAUGAAAAGAGAUGCUGCAGGAGAGCCUUGCAUCCUAUUAGCUUGUUGGUGGGGUAACGGCCCACCAAGGCGAUGAUAGGUAGCCGGCCUGAGAGGGUGGACGGCCACAAGGGGACUGAGAUACGGCCCUUACUCCUACGGGAGGCAGCAGGGGGGAAUAUUGGACAAUGGGGGCAACCCUGAUCCAGCAAUUCUGUGUGCACGAUGAAGGUUUUCGGAUUGUAAAGUGCUUUCAGCAGGGAAGAAAAAAAUGACGGUACCUGCAGAAGAAGCGACGGCUAAAUACGUG